RNAcentral lists this ribosomal RNA (253 nucleotides) under uncultured bacterium. RNAcentral describes it as "partial 16S ribosomal RNA". It matches the Rfam family "Bacterial small subunit ribosomal RNA", at positions 524 to 776 of the family's 1533-position model. The record is from RNAcentral.
GACGUAGGGCGCGAGCGUUGUCCGGAUUUAUUGGGCGUAAAGAGCUCGUAGGCGGCUUGUCGCGUCGUCUGUGAAAUCCCGCGGCUCAACCGCGGGUCUGCAGUCGAUACGGGCAGGCUAGAGUUCGGUAGGGGAGACUGGAAUUCCUGGUGUAGCGGUGAAAUGCGCAGAUAUCAGGAGGAACACCGGUGGCGAAGGCGGUUCUCUGGGCCUUACCUGACGCUGAGGAGCGAAAGCGUGGGGAGCGAACAGG